GUUCUUUUUGUGCCUAUUUUAACAGAGUCUCAAUCAUAGCAUUCCUUCCUCUCUGAAGGGACCAGGUAACACACGGAGUGCCUUGGCAGCCUCAUCAUUGCAUGCAAUCUUCACAGACAAUAUCUCACUGCAGCCACCUUUCUACAGGAGUACAGGUGUGACAUUAUACUGAUGACAUCAUUCUCAGAGAAAAUUCAUUUUAUACACUAAGGACACACAGACACAAAGAGCCUUAUACAAAGGGAAUGGACCUUUCCCCAACACAGCAGUGCAAGGCCCUGCCACUUUGCUUCAAUUCCUGAAAAUUCCUUGGUAAACUUGGGGCUGCUCUAUUCCUGACACUUUCAAGAAAUAGUUAUUCAUCCUCUCAGCAUCCACAAUGUUAAUACAAGCCCAACAUUCUUUAAUUUGUGUUUUGUUUUUUGGAGACACAGUCUUGCUCUGUCACCCAGGCUGGUAUGAAGUGGCAUGAUCUGAGCUCACUGCAGCCUCGACCUCCUGACCUCAAGCAAUUCUCCCAUUUCAGCUUUCCAAGUAGCUAGGACUACAGGUGUGUGCCAUGACACUCAGCUAAUUUUGUUUAUUUUUUUGUAGAGAAAAGCUCUCGCUAUGUUACCCAGGCUGGUCUCGAACUCCUGGGCUCAAGCGAUCCUCUGGCCUCGGCCUCCCAAAGUUCUGGGAUUACAGGUGUGAGUCCCUGUGCCCAGCCCUUUAAUUCUUUACUUGGGGUUCAGGUGACUACAUAUUUCUUAAUUACAAAUUUUACUUAAUCUCGCUGAUGCUGUCACUUGAAAGCUGACCCACCUUGAAUGAAGCCUCCUCCAACAAGUCUGGAAUCCAUCCGAAUUUAAAUUAACAGGCGCUCCUAUGAAUUUCAUCAGAGAACACACUGUAGAUGCUUUAGCAGCCUCUUCCCAUGCCUCCUGAAGUAUCUGGUUUGCAUGUGGUGGCCAUAAGUAGUCCAUGGGCUUCUGAUGUAAAAAACAAACCUGCCUCUUUUGACCCUGUGCUGUACAGCAUCAGGGCAGUGAUUGCUGGCCACAUACUGGACCCUUGAAAGAGAGGGCUCUGCAUCCAUGUCCAUGAGCCUUCAUGCCCAUCUGGCCAUCAGGCCUUGGGAAGCAGCACCCCACAGCUUUGGCACAGCUGCAGAGACCUCCUUGCCUCCGAAUGGAGUCAAAUCUGUACCCCCUGCAAUUCUCAUCUGCAGGAAGCACUGGCCUCCUUCAUCCUUAGGCUAUAAUGCUGACACUGGCCUCCUUCAUCCUCAGACUGUGGUGCUGGAUGUCACCCCUCUGCGAGGCCCUUGGGAUCGACUGAGAGACCAGCAGUGAAGUUCGUCCACCUUCUGAAUGGAUGCCAUGAUCGGACGUGAUGGAGCUCAGUGGGAUGCUGCUGCUUUCCCUCCCUUAGCUAGGAUGUCCCUGAUAAAGGAUGACACCCAAGCCUCAGCACAACUGGCCAAACUUGAGGUGGUCAUCAUAGCACUGAUGCUGGGCCAACAAUUAGCCCCACUUGUACCUUUUUACAAACUUUUUGACAAUUGCCAAGAAUUGUCCACCUUCCCUCCCCAUUGAAUUAAAUAAACUUCUUGUCUCAUGGAUACUCAGAAUACCAAACAAGGUAACAGAUGCCUUUAUUUUAACUCAGGACACAGUACAGCUCUCACAGGGACACUCCUUAUCCCUUGCAGAGUUCCAGACACUACUGAUGAUCACCAAAGCAACAUUUCAUCAGAAAACACAGUGCUGGGCUUGUGAAGAAGGUGUCCAGCAGAGCUUCCACUGCCCCUGUAGGAUGCAGGCAGCUGCUUCAGUUGAGAGAUACACUGAGCUCCUCAAAGAAUUCCUAUUUAAGGUAC
This 1861-nucleotide long non-coding RNA is filed under the name Homo sapiens (human). Lineage: Eukaryota; Metazoa; Chordata; Mammalia; Primates; Hominidae. The record is from RNAcentral.